This 106-nucleotide small nucleolar RNA is filed under the name Capsella rubella. RNAcentral's name for it is "Plant small nucleolar RNA R71". It matches the Rfam family "Plant small nucleolar RNA R71". From Rfam's summary of the family: R71 is a member of the C/D box family of snoRNAs containing the C (UGAUGA) and D (CUGA) box motifs. Multiple nearly identical copies of this snoRNA have been identified in Arabidopsis, and it is thought to function as a 2'-O-ribose methylation guide for 18S ribosomal RNA. The record is from Rfam by way of RNAcentral. Lineage: Eukaryota; Viridiplantae; Streptophyta; Magnoliopsida; Brassicales; Brassicaceae.
AAACCAUGGUGGGGGCACUGAGACUGAUAACUUUUGAAGCGCCCCAGGCUUCACAAAGCGUUUCUCCAUUCUUCUGAGUGAACCCAAAGAUCUCCUUGCGCAGACG